AACGAACGCUGGCGGCAUGCCUAACACAUGCAAGUCGAACGAGACCUUCGGGUCUAGUGGCGCACGGGUGCGUAACGCGUGGGAACCUGCCCUUAGGUUCGGAAUAACUCCCCGAAAGGGGUGCUAAUACCGGAUAAUGUCUUCGGACCAAAGAUUUAUCGCCUUUGGAUGGGCCCGCGUUGGAUUAGCUAGUUGGUAGGGUAAAAGCCUACCAAGGCGACGAUCCAUAGCUGGUCUGAGAGGAGGAUCAGCCACACUGGGACUGAGACACGGCCCAGACUCCUACGGGAGGCAGCAGUGGGGAAUAUUGGACAAUGGGCGAAAGCCUGAUCCAGCAAUGCCGCGUGAGUGAUGAAGGCCUUAGGGUUGUAAAGCUCUUUUACCCGGGAUGAUAAUGGCAGUACCGGGAGAAUAAGCUCCGGCUAACUCCGUG
This 433-nucleotide ribosomal RNA is filed under the name uncultured bacterium. RNAcentral describes it as "partial 16S ribosomal RNA". It matches the Rfam family "Bacterial small subunit ribosomal RNA", at positions 29 to 507 of the family's 1533-position model. The record is from RNAcentral.